CAACCUAUACAAAGGCGGUAAAACGGACUUCUAAUCCGUGGGCCGGGGGUUCGAAUCCCUCCUGGGAGGCCA
This 72-nucleotide transfer RNA is filed under the name Desulfotomaculum copahuensis. Its description in RNAcentral is "tRNA-Ser". The stretch from base 7 to 61 matches the Rfam family "tRNA", at positions 10 to 63 of the family's 71-position model. From Rfam's summary of the family: Transfer RNA (tRNA) molecules are approximately 80 nucleotides in length. Their secondary structure includes four short double-helical elements and three loops (D, anti-codon, and T loops). Lineage: Bacteria; Bacillati; Bacillota; Clostridia; Eubacteriales; Desulfotomaculaceae. The record is from RNAcentral.